RNAcentral lists this long non-coding RNA (11892 nucleotides) under Capsicum annuum. RNAcentral's name for it is "long non-coding RNA (CANN_LNC005222)". The record is from RNAcentral. Lineage: Eukaryota; Viridiplantae; Streptophyta; Magnoliopsida; Solanales; Solanaceae.
UCGUCUAAAUACUUGUCCUUAACCUGUGAUCACAAAGAAAGAACCAAAACACAUUCCGAAUCUAGAAUACCUUUAUCGACACAUAACCAACCUUUGAUGCUGUCGAGAUCCUUAAGAUCUCAGGGAUCCAGGCUGGCUCAUGCCAAAGAAGCUAUGUGACGUGUAAAUAAUAUUUCAGAGUCACGUACAACAAGCAUGCUAAUGGAGAAGAACAGUUAGAAAAAAAAUAUGUCACAACUAAUAUGAAUACCCAAUAAGAGUCGCAGAAAUGCAAAAAAAAAACAAAUAGGAGGUUCAUUGUCGCCAAGCACUUAAAGUAUGUAAAUCCAAGAAAAAAUCAUAACCACAUAGUGUAAAAGCAACUAAUGCAUCGUUGAAGAAUACUAACCGUUUUACAGCACAAUAACAAAAGAAGAUUGAACUUUCAAGAGUAGAUAAGAAGUCGUACGAGCAAACAAGAAUUAGCGAUCUCAUAGUAGAAGCAGCAAGCAAAAUUUAGCACUAAGUGUAGUGUAGAAUAUUGUAGAAGUCAGAGUAGGAGUGUAUGAUAAGAGGUCUGACAAUUGAAAGAGAAGGAUGUUUAUAUAGCAAAAGAGUAGAGAAAAUAAAAGGAAAGAGAAUAUUUGCAAAUUCAAUCAAAUCAACUAAAACAAAUAAACUGCACAUAUUUUACCUGAAUAAACAAGUCAAAAUAUUAUUCGAUCUUCAAGAGGCCGUAAAAAUAGGGAUACCAAUGGAUACUUCCCAUGUAAAGAAACAUAAUCACAUCAAAUUAGCACAGAAUAGAUCCAAUUAUAAUUGGGGGUAAACAUCUAUUUGGAUCAAAAAUCCACAUGCUUAAAAAGCAAAAAACAUAAUACACCCAAAGAACUACUAUACUACUGUAAUUACGCUAGUAAUCCAAUCAACUGGCUCAAAUUUUUGGAGUCAACAUUAUGACAGUACACAAUAAAAUUGCAUUCCUAAAAUAAAAUCUAGGAUUGACGAAAAAUUCAAAAUUAGUCAUUUUACAUAAAACAAAUGUGAAACCAGAAAAACAGACCAACAAUAUAACCACAAAUUUUAAGUUUAAAGAAAAGGGGAGCAGAAUAGAAUUAUAAUUGCAUGUAAAAAAUUAACUAUGAAAUUCAACCUAGGAUGGGUUCCUAAGAACCCAUCAUUUUUUCGGUGAGAUGUGGUGGCAGUGUCAUGGGAUGCAUGGAGACACAGCAACGGCGGCUGCAAUAAGAAGGCGGGCCGGUUCGUCGGUAGCUGCUGGUUUGCAUGGCUGGUUUAAGGCGGACACGUCAGUGGCUGGAGCAGAGCUCUUUGGUGGCUUUUGAUGCAGGCAACGGCGAUAGUGAGGUCCGACUAUCGUUAACAGUGCUUCGCCGGUCAUCACAUCUGGUGAAGCAGCAAUGAUGAGAGGCAGCAUUGAUCGAAGGUACGGUAGGAUGGCUGGCUCGCUGGUGAGCUACCAUUAUUUUUCCCAGCUGUGGAGAUGCAUCGGAUCUGGGCGACUAUGGCACUGGGCCUUCAUCGGUGUCGGCUGGUGUUGUUGCCCAUUUAACGGUGCUUAGUCGUCGGAGAGAAAAAUUGAGCAGAGGGGGUUUGGGUUGUGGGCGAACGCCGGUGGCGGAUGGACGGUGGCAGUUGGUGAGUUCUAGAAAGAAGGAGGAGAGAUAGAGAGAGAAAGUGGGGAUGGUGUGCGGUUGAUUUGGUGGAAUGAGUCUAGGGUUAGGGUUUUGAUUUUUUAAAAGGAAAGAAGGAGAUCGUUUGAUCUCAGUCGUUGGAUCAGUUUUGAUCGAAGGCUGAUAUUUAAUGGUUGAGGAAUUGGUCAAAAUUUAAAAAUAAUUUAAAAUUAAGUCCUAAAUUGACUAUAAUUGUAAUAAAUGGCUGAAAUUGGAAUGUCUUGGGUAAAAAAUGGACUAAAAGAUAAAUAAAUCAGGAAAAUUAAUUUAACUUUAGGCUGUUAUUUAAAUAAUAGUAGGGAUAAUAAUAGUAAAUAAUAUAUAAUAAUAAUAAUAAAUAAUAAAUAAUACUAAUAUUAAUAAUAAUAAAUGUUAUAAAAAAUGAUGUAUUUGGAAAUUGAGAGUAUGCCUAUUUAUGAAAAUAAUUAUCUAAAAUUAUGUCGAGAAAUAUUAUAUUUAAAUUAAUGAAUGAUACUGUAAGGUGGUAAAAUAAUUUGUAUAUUUUAAAAUCGUGAAUGGACACAUCAAAAUCUGUUUGACACAAGAAAACUGUGUAAAAGUAUCAACAUUUAAAAUUGGUAAAUUUUGUUAAAAUAACAUCCUAAAAUAAGUAUCAGGAGGUACAAAAUUAGGUGUUAAUAGCUGCCCCUUCGUUUCUUGGGAAUGAUAAAAGAAUUGUCAAGCAACAAAAGUUGAUGUGGUAGCCAAUUUUAUCCGACCGAGGAAGAUUCUUUGGAGUUAAAACAAUAGGAGGUGAUUUUAAAAAUAAUAUGGCUGAGACUUCGAUUUCAAGUCGCCUACAUAUCUCUGGUUUUAUGAGAAUCAGGCCGUUUGUAGUUCUAGAUUUAGGAAUGAACAAUAUUUCUAAAGAAUGUCAAUGAUAAAGGAUGGGCAUUCAAUAAAGGUGUUGUAGGUCGGUCAAUGAGACGGAAUUGAAUGGGAUUUGGAAUAGUGGCGUAUGGAGAAGUUUGAAAAUAUUGAGGUAGGUGAGGUGAUGGAUAAAUAGAUGGAGUAAUAUUUUAGAAACAAAAACUAAAAUUGUCUUUGUUUGUUAUUCCUUCUUUGUUACCUGCAUAUUUACACCGUACUAAAUAAAAAAGGUUAGACAUGUAAGAAAUAAACAUUUGAUAAAUAUAAAGUAAAGGUGGAGACAAGAAAGAUAUCUGUUGUAUUGUGGGAUCAGCGAUUUGGCUUCUCAAUGUACUGUGGAAUCAUGGGAUCAGUUGUUUGUCUUCUCAUUGUGGAGUAAUCUGUACCUAUUAGUCCUAUCACUCUUAGCUCAAUUGGAUAAAAUGGUUAGCAUGGAUAUAUAUGUAUGUAUAGAAGAUUUGAUCAAUAUAGUGAAAACAACCAAAACAAUAAUGAUAAGAAGAGAUAAGAAAGUGUAUCUGUCAUGAGAGAGUAAUGCUUUGUUCAUAUAAAAAUUUAAAGAGGUCGUGCUUAAUCCACACUAUAUCUAGUAAACCAAUAGCAUUUAAUAACACUGAGGCAGUUAUGCUUAGCAUGUUCAGCAGUAGAAAAUAAUAUUCAUUUUUUAGUAACCCAAUUGACUUUCAGAGGACAAUGCUUAGCCUCAGGCAGUUUCUCAAAUUUACAAAACAAUGCUUAGCUUCGAAUAAUUUCUCGAGAGAGGGUAAUGCUUAACCCAACUAAAUUUCAAGGACUAUGCUUAGCCUCAUUCAGUUUCUCAAAAAACAGUAGUGCUUAACCCACUUAACUUUCCAAGGACAAUGCUUAGACUUAGAGAGUUUUUGAUAGAGUAGUGCUUAACUCCAUCAAAUUUCUAAAACAAUGCUUAGUUCGGAUGAUUUCAUGAGAGAGAAGUGGUGCUUAACCCGACUAACUUUCAAGACAAUGUUUAGCCUUAGUCAGUUUCUCGAAAAAGGGCAGUGCUUAAACCACUUAAAUUUCUAAGGACAGUGCUUAGCCUUAGAGAGUUUUUGAUAGAGUAGUGCUUAACUCUAUCAAGUUUCCUAAAAAAUGAUUAGUUUGGAUGAUUUCUCGAGAGAGGGUAGUGCUUAACCCAACUAACUUUCAAGGACAAUGCUUAGCCUCAGUCAGUUUCUCGAAAAAGGGUAGUGCUUAACCCACUUAACUUUCCAAGGAAAAUGCUUAGCCUUAGAGAUUUUUUGACAGAGUCGUUCUUAACUCCAUCAAAUUUCUGAAACAAUGCUUAGCUUUGGAUGAUUUCUCGAGAGAGAGCAGUGCUUAACCCAACUAACUUUCAAGGACAAUGCUUAGCCUCAGUCAGUUUCUUGAAAGAGGGUAGUGCUUAACCCACUUAACUUUCGACGGACAAUGCUUAGCCUUAGAGAGUUUAUGAUAGAGUCGUGCUGAACUCCAUCGAAUUUUCAAAACAAUGCUUAGCUUUGGACAAUUUCUCGAGAGAAGGUAAUGCUUAACCCAACUAACUUUCAAGGACAAUGCUUAGCCUCAGUCAGUUUCUCGAAAGAGGGUAGUGCUAAACCCACUUAACCUUCCAAGGACAAUGCUUAGCCUUAGGGAGUUCUUGAUAGAAUCAUUCUUAACUACAUCGAAUUUCCAAAAUAAUGUUUAGUUCAAAUAAACUUAUUGAGAGAGGGUAGUACUUAACCCAAUUAACUUUUCAAGAACAAUGCUUAGCCUCAAGAAGUUUAUCUCGAGAGGGUAGUGAUUAACCCACUCAGAACAUAGGAUGAUAAUAAUUAACCUUAUAUUUUGUGAUGGUGUAUGAAAUGCUUGAGAUUUUUACCCGUCACUCUAUACCUACACUCAAAGAAAUAUUGUUAGUUUUAAAAAAGGAAAAAGAUUGAUUCGUGUCUCUGUCAAUUCCUUUGCCCAGGUCCUGAAUCCAUUGUCUUUAUAUCGCUUUCUUGAGAUGCAAUCCUUGAUGAAAAUUUGAGGAUCCUCAAAAAUUUCUGCCCCGGUUUCAUGGCCUCAAUCUUUCUAGCCUUGAAUUUGUUAAAAUGUUUCUUGAUAGAAUUUUUGAGACCCUCUCAAAAAUUCUUCCCCAGUUACAUGUCUCGUCCGUCUUAAACUUGUAGAAUCAUAGAAUUUUUGAAAUCCUUUCAAAAAUUUUGCCCCAGUUACUUGCUUCAGGAAAAUAUGAAAGUUUCAUUGUGAUGAGACCGAACUCAAUAGGAGCGCCUGCGUAUCCCUCUUAAAUGGGAAUCAAGUCAAAUGUAGUUCAAAGUACAUAGGAGAAAUUCGUAUUGUUCCAAGCAUGUGUAAAGAUUAUAGUAACCCAAGUACUUGAGAUACUGAAAUGAGAAGACGACGUGAUAUCCCUUCCUUAAUGUUAGAGACGCCAGUUCUUAAUCAACAUCAAGAUAUGGCCCCAUCACAUUUAUCGCUUUGGUAUCAAUCAGUGCUUGAAUUUUGUCCUUUAAAACACGCCAUUCUUCAGUGGUGUAGCUUGUCAUCCUUGAAUGAUAAGCACAAACUUUGAAAUAAUCAAUCCAUUUAGCAUAUGUAUUCAUUACAAUUGCAGAAAUUGAAGUAAUGUAGCCAUCAACCCUUAAUCUCUCAUAAAGUUGGUCUAUAGGCUCAGCCAAAGGAGUGUACUGUCUUGAUAAUUUUUUUAAAGCUUGGCUUAAGGUAUGAUAAAUUGAUUGGGUCGUAGAUUUGUUGGUGCAUAAGCUAAUGGUUGUUAGAAAGUAGUUGAAAGAAUUUGUGAGCACGCAGGUAGUGCGAGAUAGUUGGUAGGACUAUAAGAUAGUAUGGGGUAAUUCUAUGUCGUUGCGGGGAAUGAAGGUGCUUGAUAUAUGGGUGUUUGGUAUUGAAGCGGAGGAGGUGGUGUUUGGUUUUUGGGAUUUUGAGUAGUCAAGAUAGUAUUUACUUCCUUCAUGUUAUUAUUCUCAUCAGCCUGUAAAGUCUUAAUCGCUUGCAGUGCCUCCAAAUUCGUUAUCAUGCCAUUUUAAUGACUUCUUCAAUUCUCUCGCCCAAUUUGAUGAUGUCAACAAGCUUUUGAUCCUCUAUAAGAAUCAUCCUUUCAUAAUAUUGUGGCUCUUGGGAACGUAUGAAAAAUUCUUUCAUUUGACCUUCCUCUAAAGGAGGAUGCACCUUACAAGCUUCACGUAUCCACCUCAAUCCAUAUACUCAACACGAUUUUGUAGGUUUCUUCUUUAACUUCUGAAUGUAGAACGAAUCAGGCACAUUCUAAAUACUAAACCCAAAUCUUUCUAUAAAAGCCGAGGCUAUGUCGAUCCAUUUCGACCAUUUUGUUGCAUCUUGUGGACAUACCAUGACAAAGCAUCUUCAGUGAGACUUUUAUGAAUAAUUUCCUAAGAAUCUACUCGUUUUUUCCAACUCUAACUAGCUUGUAGUAGUAUAGUUUCAAAUGGACUUUCAAAUCUCCAGUCCCAUUGUACAUUUCAAAUUUAGAAGGUUUGUAACUCCUGGCAGUUCAACGUCAGGGUGCACGCAUGGGUCCUCAUAACUUAGCCCUUUCAACUCUUUAUUACCUUCAAGUUGUUCCAAUCUUUCAACCACGGAUUGCAUAAGGGCAGCAUUUUCUAAAGGUUUGGAUUUAUAUUGGUGGUAGGUAAAUAGGGUCGUUUUGUCAUAACUCAAAUGUAAAGUAUGGCUGCUUGGAUCAUGAAAAUGAGGCAUAUUUGUGGUAAAUGUUGGCGGCAUAUUAUGGACAUAUGAUGAUAUUUGCAAAUUUAGUAGGACUGGAUAUGUGUGGUAUUGUGGUAGACAAGAAUGUGGAUAUGAGUUAUGUUUAGGAAGCGUGUAUAUGUGAUUUGAAUUGUUUGGGGGUUGUGAAAUAGGAAGUGAUGGUAAGGGAUGACUUGUGAAGAUGGGAUGGGAUUUAAUAGUUGUGUUACCCUCAAUUUGUGGUUUGAGAGGAGAAUUCAAAGCAAGGGGUAGAUUAGAUAAGUUACGGGCUUGUGACAAUUUCCUUUGUAGUUGAAGGAUUCUUUGCUCUAUUUGUAAGAUCAUCUCAUUAUGCUCAUUUCUAGCAUCGUUGUUAUCACCCAUUUCAUUGUUUUGGUGACUAAGCUUUAAGAGAAGGAGACUGAGCCUUGAUGGGCGAGAUAAUGCACGAAUCAAUCCUUUGGGCGUGAAAGAAAAAAUAAAUAAAAUUAAAAUUAAAAAGAAGAAAGAAAAAAAAGUUAAGUUAGUAAGAUAUGUAGUGAAAAAAUAAACAUGUUAAUAUGCCAGAAUAAAAUGUUUUAUAAUGUACGGAGCCUUAUUAAGUCCGAAGUAGGUCGAGAAUGACAAAUAUAUAUGACUUACGAUAUUAUAAUCCAAGUCUGACGUAAAAGAAGUUUGGAAUUAGAAAUUCCUAACCACAUUUGCUCAAUCUUUGGUUCAGAUUACUUUAUCACGAUCACAAGAAGCAUAGCAUGAAUAUUUAUUGUUGGUAGGAUAAGGCGAGAAUAAAGAAAUAAAUUUCAAAUAGUGUUUCUCCUUGGGCGAGAAGAAAAAUGAUGAAAUUUUUUUGCAUGUUUGUCAUAACGCAGAUUUUCAAAUGAAUCGAUGUUUGAAAAAUAGCAAUUUGAACAAAACAGGAGCGAGUGUACCUAGUAAGAGAAGAGAUAGUAUGAUAAUAUGAGUCAUUUUGUCAAAGAGGACUUUAGGACGAAUGGGUGGGUUGGGAUUUAAGCUUUAGAAGUGAAUUGAUGUUAAAAGACAAAAGAUAAAUGAUAAACAAGACUUAGGUACUGUGCAUACUUGGAGUUGAUGGGGUGAACAAGUAAAUAAUGAUAAGAUAUUAAAAGAUGCACGUAGAAUGUUGAAGGCAUUUUAUUUUGAAAAGAGGGGAAGAUUGAAGAUUUAAAAAUUUUGACGUAUUUUGUUUGAAAUAUUUUGAGAAUUUGAAAGAUUGUAAAAGGUCGUUGGAAUAAAAAGCUUCUAAUUCUCACCCUUAUGACAUUAUGGAAUGGUGGUGAAAGAUAUAGAGAAUAUGAUUUGAUAGAAAAAACUACUGGACUGAUCACAUUUUCAAAAAUUAGGACGUUUUGUAAAAUGGAGGGAAAAGAAAGACCGUAUCCUUAUAAAGGAUUGCCUACAUAUCUUGUUGGAACAAGAAUCAGGUCAGACGUAAAUCAAAAUUUUGAGAGUUAUAUAAGUUGAAUAACAAGUGAGGAUGUUGGAGGAUUUUGAAUAGGCCCUAAGAGUGUAUUGUAGGGUCCUAACAUUGUACGAACUUUAAGAGUAAAGAGCUCUAAAGUGAGGCACACUAAAUGUAAGGAGUGACUAAGGCAAUAACGGAAACAACAAGAUAAGUAGGAUGUCAAUACAUACAUAGAAAUGCAGAACAUAACAAAUAAUUUUGAGUCCCUUUGAGGUCGUGAACCUCUUUGAACUUUGAAUGAGACUAACAUUCAAUGCGUCAAGGAUGCCAAGGCAUCCUACGUUGAAUGGGACGCAUAUUCCUUAAUAAAAGAAAUAUGUAGCUAAAACCUAAAGGGCAAGAGUGGGUUAAUGACAUAGUUCCCUCGAGUGGACAACUCGAGAGUGGGAAAACUUGUGGUUGUCAACGCACGGCUGAUUGACCGAUCCAUAAGGCAUUUCUCGAAGGGUGUUUUAGGAAAGAACGUCCGUGCAACCACGCAAUUGUUCGUACAAAAAAAAUAAAGGAGAUCCCAAGUGGAGGAAAGUAUGAGCGGGAUACCAAUUAUAUAAAGCAGUAAGAAUAGCACAUAGAAACAUAUAAUAACAUGCUUUAGUAAUAAAAAAAAUAAACAUUAAAACACAUAUCCAAUAAAAGAAAAGUAGACAUGGAGAAAUAUUAAUAACACAAAAAGGAAAAAGGAGAAAGGACUAAUAAAUCAUGAUGUAAGUAAACGAUAAAAGAAGAACAUAUAAAAAAUAAAUUAAGAUGUCAAACAUCAUCAAAACAAAAGGAGAGAAUCCUACAUGAAGCACAAAUUUGUAAUGGUUAGAACUUAAAAUCCCCAGCAGAGUCGCCAUUCUGUCGCGCCCCAUUUUCCUUGCAAAAAGCGAGAUUCGACGUGACCACUCUUUUUGGAAUUAUUUCGAGAGGAGAGUGAAGAGUCGCCACCUAACUAAUUAAGGUGUGUUAGGGCACCAGUCUAAGCCAACUACAAACCUUUUUUAUUGUUUUGUCUUAGCUCACAAGAAAUUUGGUUAAGAGUUCAAAUUACAUCAAAAGAAAGUGUUAGGCACCUUUUGAGGUCCACGAAGGUAGUUUCCGACCGAAUUCAUAUUUUACGUGGGUAUUCUACGUGCUCAAAUAAGGUCGCUUAUUUCAUUAUUAAUUGAUGCUAACUAAGUGAUAAAAUAGUAAAUAAGUAAACAUGUUAUUUAAUUAUUUUUAAUUAAUAAUUAUCUAUGUGAUAAAAAUCAAUUAAACAUAGGAGAAGAAAGAAAUGACAUGAGUAUAUUAAAUUAAGAAACAUAAACUAUCCUAAAAAAAAUAUAGUAUUAAUUGAAUUAAUAAAGUAAACCAUUUUCAAUUUGAAUAAAGUUGUUUGAAGAAAAUGUUUGUCACUUUUAUAGAAAAGAUGUCACGAUAUUAUUAAUCACGCCCUUUUACCUUGGCAACAAUUUUGAUUGGAGAUCGGUCUUAAGUAAAAAUAAUAAUAAUAUAAUUUUUAAAAGACAAGUGAAAAUUUGAGUAUCAAAAUAUAACACAUAAAAAUAUUUAUAUAUGUAUAAAUAUACACAUAUUCAAAAAAAACAUUGGUUAGUGGUAUUCCCGAGGACGCGUCGGCUUGCUUUUAAAAUAUGAGAAUUAAAAAUCGUAAUUCUUUUUACUUUCCCGCCAACUAUAAGUUAGGAGAUAGUGUAUAUGUAAUUAAUAAUUUUUAAAAGACAUUGUCCAAUUCAAGUUGUAAAAAGCCAGAAAAAAAGAAUUAAACCAAAAUGUUAGCAAUUAAUGUUGUGUUUUAAAAAUGUUUGCAUAAACAAAGUAGGAAAAUUAGUUAAUAUGCUGAAAAUAUUAUUUGAAGACUGAAAAUUAACAUAUAAUUGUUGAGAAUGUGAUUUAAAAUGCGAAAAUGUCAUUUGUUAUAUGUCAAAGUUAUGCCAAAAGUAAAUAAAUUUGUUGUAACCUAAGUUGACAUAUUCAAACGUGAUUUAACGAGGCAAAAUUAAUUAAACUCCUAAAAGUAUGAUUUAUAAGAGAUUAAAAUAAAUCCUAAAUUAGGUUUGCCUAAGUGAUUUGCAUAAUACGUAAAGCACAUAAAUCCCUUCCCCCAAAACAGUCCCAUAAAUAUUAUUACAACAUAUCCUUUGUACAAUAAUCCUCACAGGCCAAUAUUAAAUGAAAUAAAAAAAAAAAAUACGAAGAGCUAGAUUGGAUAGCUCUUAACGACUACAUGCCAACUCUGUCUCGUCUAAAUACUUGUCCUUAACCUGUGAUAACAAAGAAAUAACCAAAACACAUUCCGAAUCUAGAAUACCUUUAGUGACACAUAACCAACCUUUGAUGCUGUCGAGAUCCUGGGGAUCCCAGGCAGGCUCAUGCCAAAGAAGCUAUGUGACGUGUAAAUAAUAUUUCAGAGUCACGUACAACAAGCAUGCUAAUGGAAAAGAACAUUUAGAAAAAGAAAAUAUGUCACAACUAAUAUGAAUACCCAAUAAGAGUCACGGAAAUACAAAAAAAAAAUAGGAGGUUCAUGUCGUCAAGCAUUUAAAGUAUGCAAAUCCAAGCAAAAAUCAAAACCACAUAGUAUAAAAGGAACUAAUGCAUCGUUGAAGAAAACUAACCGCUUUACAGCACAAUUACAAAAGAAGAUUGAACUUUCAAGAGUAGAUAAGAAGUCGUACGAGCAAACAAGAAUUAGCGAUCUCAAAGUAGAAGCAGCAAGCAAAAUUUAGCACUAAGUGUAGUGUAGAAUAGGGUAGAAGUCAGAGUACGAGUGUAAGAUAAGAGGUCUGACAAUUGAAAGAGAGGAUAUUUAUAUAGCAAAGGAGUAGAGAAAAUAAAAAGACAGAGAAUAUUUGCAAAUUCAAUCAAAUCAAUUAAAGAAAAAUAAACAGCUCCUAUUUACCUAAAUAAACAAGUCAGAAUAUUAUUUGAUCUUCAAGAGGCCAUCACUAGGUUUAGUGUAGAAGUGUAAGAUAAGAGGUCUGACAAUUGAAAGAGAGGAUAUUUAUAUAGCAAAAGUGUAGAGAAAAUAAAAGGAAAGAGAGUAUUUGCAAAUUCAAUCAAAUCAAUUAAAAAAACAUAAACAACUCCUAUUUACCUUAAUAAACAAGUCAGAAUAUUAUUUGAUCUUCAAGAGGCCAUAAAAAUAGGGAUACCAAUGGAUACUUCCCAUGUUAAGAAACGUAAUCACAUCAAAUUAGCACAGAAUAGAUCCAAUUAUAAUUGGGGGUAAACAUCUAUUUGUAUCAAAACUCCACAUGCUUAGCAAGCAAAAAUCACAAUACACCCAAAGAACUACUAUACUGUUGUAAUUGCGCUAGUAAUCCAAUUAACCGGUUCAAAUUUUCGGAGUCAAAAUUAUGACAGUAGACAAUGAAAUUGCAUUCCUAAAAUGAAAUCUAGGAUUAAUGAAAAAUUCAAAAUUUGUCAUUUUACAUAAAACAAACGUGAAACCAGAAAAACAGACCAACAAUAAAACCAUAAAUUUUAAGUUUAAAGAAAAGAGUAGCAGAAGAGAAUUAUAAUUGCAUGUAAAAAAUUAAAUACGAAAUCCAACCUAGGAUGGGUUCCUAAGAACCCAUCAUUUUUUCGAUGAGUUGUGGUGGCAGUGUCAUGGGAUGCACAGAGAGACAGCAAUGGUGGCUACAAUGAGAACGAAGGUUGGUUCAUGGGUAGCCGCUGGUUUGCAUGGCUGGUUUGAGGUGCCACGGCGACGGCUGGAGCUACGGAGCUCGGUUUUGAUGUCUUUUGAUACGAGCAGCGGCAAUGGUGAGAUCCGGCUAUCAUUAACAGUUCUUUACUGGUCAUCACCUACGAUGAAGCAGCAAUGAUGGGAGGCGACGCUGAUCGGAGGUGCAGUGGGACGUUCGGCUCACUGGUAAGCUGCCGUUAUUUAUUUCAGCGAUGGAGAUGUACCGGAUCUGGGCGACGAUGGCGCUGGGCCUUCACCAGUGGCGGCUAGUGUUAUUGCCUGUUCAACAAUGCUUAACCGUCAGAGAGAAUAAUAGAGGAGAGGGGGUUCGAGCUGUGGGCGGUCACCGGUGGCGGCUGGUGAGUUCUAGAGAGAAGGAGGAGCGAUAGAGAGAGAAAGUGGAGGUGGUGUUCGGUUAAUUUGGUGGAAUGAAUCUAGGGUUAGGGUUUUGAUUUUUUAAAAGAAAAGAAAGAGAUCCUUUGAUCUCA